AUGGUGCCUCUAGGAAAGUUGCUUAAUUUAUAUUCAAGCCAUGGUUUUCCCAUUUGUUCAGGUGCUACAAUUUCAGCCAUUUCGUGAGACCGGGCAGGUCAUGUAAAUAAGCAGUCAGAAGCAAUCAGCCAGAAGUGCGCUAUACAGGGCAGGCUUCUCCUGACGGUUCACCAGUGCGGGUCACCCCAAGCACCAUACCAGCCAAAUGGAAUGCAGCUAUGACUGAAUUUGACCCCAGAUACGCUGUCUUUCAGAGGCUUUACAGCACAUGGUAACGUUUAGGGUUUGUUGGCCACUGGGGGUCAACAUGUUCACUGCCUGCAGGGAACUGGCCAGAAUCAGAAGAUGGAAACCCAAUAGCCGUUGAUAACCUCAGUCCUGUUACUUCAACUGAGAAUGAGUGCUAAGCCUCUGAGCUUCCCAAGAACAAGCUGAGGACAGCAGGCCAAAGAGGAGCUGUUUUUUUUUCCUGAAGGUAUUAAACUAGUGCACUUUCAAGUACAGCAAGCUCUGCAACCAACAAUGAGGAAUAUGGUGAUACAGAUGCUACAAUCAAGGUGAAGAUACAGUUGACUAAAGCUGUCACUGAAUAAAAUCCAGGUGCACUCCACGGAUGAGGACAGAAAGGCCCACAGAGGUGGAGGAACUUGCCCGCAGUCACAGAGCCUGCAAGAGCAAACAGGGUGCAGAUCUAGAUUAGGCUGACUCUCUUCCUCCGUGCCUCCCUGCCUGCCUGCAAGCUGGAUUGCUUUCAUCUCAUGCUGAGAAGAGCUGGGCCCCCUCCACACUACUGCCAAGAAGCAGCUUCAAAAUUUUUUUGAAC
Odocoileus virginianus texanus is the source of this 823-nucleotide non-coding RNA. The record is from RefSeq and is a predicted model, not a curated record. Lineage: Eukaryota; Metazoa; Chordata; Mammalia; Artiodactyla; Cervidae.